This 460-nucleotide ribosomal RNA is filed under the name uncultured bacterium. Its description in RNAcentral is "partial 16S ribosomal RNA". It matches the Rfam family "Bacterial small subunit ribosomal RNA", at positions 338 to 795 of the family's 1533-position model. The record is from RNAcentral.
CCUACGGGGGGCAGCAGUGAGGAAUAUUGGUCAAUGGACGCAAGUCUGAACCAGCCAUGCCGCGUGCAGGAAGACGGCUCUAUGAGUUGUAAACUGCUUUUGUACGAGGGUAAACGCAGAUACGCGUAUCUGUCUGAAAGUAUCGUACGAAUAAGGAUCGGCUAACUCCGUGCCAGCAGCCGCGGUAAUACGGAGGAUUCAAGCGUUAUCCGGAUUUAUUGGGUUUAAAGGGUGCGUAGGCGGUCUGAUAAGUUAGUGGUGAAAGCCCGAGGCUCAACUUCGGAAUUGCCUCUGAUACUGGUCGGCUAGAGAGUAGUAGCGGUAGGCGGAAUGCAUGGUGUAGCGGUGAAAUGCUUAGAGAUCAUACAGAACACCGAUUGCGAAGGCAGCUUACCAAGCUACUUCUGACGUUGAGGCACGAAAGCGUGGGGAGCAAACAGGAUUAGAUACCCCUGUAGUC